GCAAACUUGGUCAUUUAGAGGAAGUAAAAGUCGUAACAAGGUUUCCGUAGGUGAACCUGCGGAAGGAUCAUUAUCGAAUUGUCAAAACUUGGCUGUCGCUGGCUUGUCUUUUUUUAUUGAGAUUUGCAUGUGCACGCUUAGUUUAAACUUUUCAUUUCAAUCUACUGUGCACUUUUGUGGAUUAUAGACAGAUAACCUUUUUCAAAGUAACAUUUGGUUUUGGAGUUUGCAGUUUGCUUUCUCCUACUAUUUGUCUAUGAUUCAUGUUUUUUUUUUUACUACAAACUAUUUAUUAUCAACCUAGAAUGCUUUUUUUUCGAGUUGGGACUUUAUUGACCCUUCUCAAAAUCUUAUACAACUUUCAACAACGGAUCUCUUGGCUCUCGCAUCGAUGAAGAACGCAGC
RNAcentral lists this unclassified non-coding RNA (405 nucleotides) under uncultured fungus. RNAcentral's name for it is "partial contains small subunit ribosomal RNA, internal transcribed spacer 1, and 5.8S ribosomal RNA". The stretch from base 1 to 73 matches the Rfam family "Eukaryotic small subunit ribosomal RNA", at positions 1759 to 1831 of the family's 1831-position model. Lineage: Eukaryota; Fungi. The record is from RNAcentral.